Molecule: transfer RNA, 75 nt
Filed under: Candidatus Aenigmatarchaeota archaeon
Lineage: Archaea; Nanobdellati; Candidatus Aenigmatarchaeota
Description: tRNA-Ile
Rfam family: tRNA
About the family: Transfer RNA (tRNA) molecules are approximately 80 nucleotides in length.
Source: RNAcentral
GGGCUCGUAGCUCAGCUUGGUUAGAGCGCCGGUCUUAUAAGCCGGAGGUCUGGGGUUCGAAUCCCCACGAGCCCA